GCCCCUGUGGUGAAAUGGAUAUCAUCCCUGCCUUCGAAGCAGUUGUUCCAGGUUCGAAUCCUGGCGGGGGCACAA
Molecule: transfer RNA, 75 nt
Filed under: Candidatus Yonathbacteria bacterium RBG_16_43_6
Lineage: Bacteria; Candidatus Yonathiibacteriota
Also listed under: 2 other names
Description: tRNA-Arg
Rfam family: tRNA
About the family: Transfer RNA (tRNA) molecules are approximately 80 nucleotides in length. Their secondary structure includes four short double-helical elements and three loops (D, anti-codon, and T loops).
Source: RNAcentral